CCCUUAGAUGUUCUGGGCUGCACGCGCGCUACACUGAAGCUAUCAACACGUUUUCCCUCCCUGAGAAGGGCGGGUAACCUUUUGAAUCAGCUUCGUGGUAGGGAUCGGGGCUUGCAAUUGUUCCCCGUGAACCAAGAAUUCCUAGUAGACGCGAGUCAUAAGCUCGCAUCGAUUAAGUCCCUGCCCUUUGUACACACCGCCCGUCGCUACUACCGAUUGAACGUUUUAGUGAGGCAUUUGGACCGACGCAUCUCAGUUUAACCGCUGGUUUGUGUUGGAAAGACUUCCAAACUUGAGCGUUUAGAGGAAGUAAAAGUCGUAACA
RNAcentral lists this ribosomal RNA (324 nucleotides) under uncultured eukaryote. Its description in RNAcentral is "partial 18S ribosomal RNA". It matches the Rfam family "Eukaryotic small subunit ribosomal RNA", at positions 1470 to 1796 of the family's 1831-position model. The record is from RNAcentral.